Molecule: transfer RNA, 65 nt
Filed under: Toxorhynchites speciosus
Lineage: Eukaryota; Metazoa; Arthropoda; Insecta; Diptera; Culicidae
Description: tRNA-Arg
Source: RNAcentral
AAAUAUGAAGCGAUUUAUUGCAAUUAGUUUCGACCUAAUUUUAGGUGAAAUUUCACCCUUAUUUU